This 315-nucleotide long non-coding RNA is filed under the name Homo sapiens (human). RNAcentral describes it as "HSALNT0171096". Lineage: Eukaryota; Metazoa; Chordata; Mammalia; Primates; Hominidae. The record is from RNAcentral.
GUUACAGGAGAGGGGUCCUGAUCCAGACCCCAAGAGAGGGUUCUUGGAUUUGGAUCCUGUGCAAGAAAGAAUUCAGGGGACUUAGAAUGCCUGACCAUGUGGGAAUGCAGCCCAGUAGGACUCAGUCUCAUUUUACCCAGCCCCUGUUCAAGAUGGAGUCGCUCUGGUUCACACGCCUCAGACACAGCCUCUGCCUCCCGCCUCAGCCUCCUAAGCAGCUGGGACUACAGGGCAUACCUGAUUUUCUCGACCUCUUUUAUGAAAUAUCCCCGCCAGACUCCCUCGACCGUGCCACCCCCAGGUUCCCGUGCAUAC